AAAUUGAAGAGUUUGAUCAUGGCUCAGAUUGAACGCUGGCGGCAGGCCUAACACAUGCAAGUCGAACGGUAACAGGAAGCAGCUUGCUGCUUUGCUGACGAGUGGCGGACGGGUGAGUAAUGUCUGGGAAACUGCCUGAUGGAGGGGGAUAACUACUGGAAACGGUGGCUAAUACCGCAUAACGUCGCAAGACCAAAGAGGGGGACCUUCGGGCCUCUUGCCAUCAGAUGUGCCCAGAUGGGAUUAGCUAGUUGGUGAGGUAACGGCUCAC
RNAcentral lists this ribosomal RNA (271 nucleotides) under Salmonella enterica. RNAcentral describes it as "partial 16S ribosomal RNA". It matches the Rfam family "Bacterial small subunit ribosomal RNA", at positions 1 to 268 of the family's 1533-position model. Lineage: Bacteria; Pseudomonadati; Pseudomonadota; Gammaproteobacteria; Enterobacterales; Enterobacteriaceae. The record is from RNAcentral. RNAcentral also lists the same sequence under 2 other names.